This 431-nucleotide long non-coding RNA is filed under the name Linum usitatissimum (flax). RNAcentral describes it as "long non-coding RNA (LUSI_LNC004849)". Lineage: Eukaryota; Viridiplantae; Streptophyta; Magnoliopsida; Malpighiales; Linaceae. The record is from RNAcentral.
UCGUAGACAACCUCUUGCCAGACAUCAUCAAGAAACACUCCAGUCUCAAAAGCGUCCUUGAGAUUGACUUCUACUGCUAGCCGGGCAAAUUUGCCACGAGACGUAGAGAGGGUUCAUCGGUCAAUCUGGACCGUGCGUCCUAUCAUAUCUCCCAAUGCCCAGAGCCUUAACGGUAAGCUUAACGAUAAGAGCCUUCCAGAGCGGGGCACAUAUUUUGGCACGUAACUCCCCGACGUAUAAAGAUACCAGUGCCCAUUUUUGUGACUCAGAGAGAUAUCAUUGUCCUUGAUGGAAAUCGAGACCUCAUUAGAAGGAGGGGUUGGUUGCAAAUGUACGGGACACCAUGGCAGCGUACGAAGUUGGUGGUGCAUGAGGAAUACAAGUCAGCUAUGUAACUGUCGGAGACUCAGUUGGAAUCUCCUGAUUUUCAG